UGGGGAAUUUUGGACAAUGGGCGAAAGCCUGAUCCAGCAAUGCCGCGUGUGUGAAGAAGGCCUUCGGGUUGUAAAGCACUUUUGUCCGGAAAGAAAUGGCUCUGGUUAAUACCUGGGGUCGAUGACGGUACCGGAAGAAUAAGGACCGGCUAACUACGUGCCAGCAGCCGCGGUAAUACGUAGGGUCCAAGCGUUAAUCGGAAUUACUGGGCGUAAAGCGUGCGCAGGCGGUUGUGCAAGACCGAUGUGAAAUCCCGAGCUUAACUUGGGAAUUGCAUUGGUGACUGCACGGCUAGAGUGUGUCAGAGGGGGGUAGAAUUCCACGUGUAGCAGUGAAAUGCGUAGAGAUGUGGAGGGAAUACCGAUGGCGAAGGCAGCCCCCUGGGAUAACACUGACGCUCAUGCACGAAAGCGUGGGGAGCAAACAGGAUUAGAUACCCUGGUAGUCCACGCCCUAAACGAUGUCAACUAGUUGUUGGGGAUUCAUUUCCUUAGUACGUAGCUAACGCGUGAAGUUGACCGCCUGGGGAGUACGGUCGCAAG
RNAcentral lists this ribosomal RNA (543 nucleotides) under uncultured bacterium. Its description in RNAcentral is "partial 16S ribosomal RNA". It matches the Rfam family "Bacterial small subunit ribosomal RNA", at positions 355 to 892 of the family's 1533-position model. The record is from RNAcentral.